RNAcentral lists this ribosomal RNA (440 nucleotides) under uncultured bacterium. RNAcentral describes it as "partial 16S ribosomal RNA". It matches the Rfam family "Bacterial small subunit ribosomal RNA", at positions 338 to 795 of the family's 1533-position model. The record is from RNAcentral.
CCUACGGGAGGCAGCAGUGGGGAAUAUUGCACAAUGGGGGAAACCCUGAUGCAGCGACGCCGCGCGAGCGAUGAAGUAUUUCGGUAUGUAAAGCUAUAUCAGCAGGGAAGAAAAUGACGGUACCUGACUAAGAAGCAACGGCUAACGACGUGCCAGCAGCCGCGGUAAUACGUAGGGGGCAAGCGUUAUCCGGAUUUACUGGGUGGAAAGGGAGCGUAGACGGUCCUGCAAGCCAGACGUGAAAGCCCGGGGCUCAACCCCGGGACUGCAUUUGGAAAUGUAAGGCUAGAGUGUCGGAGAGGCAGGCGGAAUUCCUAGUGUAGCGGUGAAAUCCGUAGAUAUCUGGAGGAACAUCAGUGGCGAAGGCGACUAUCUGGCACAUAACUGACGCUGAGGAGCGAAAGCGUGGGUAGCAAACAGGAUUAGAUACCCCAGUAGUC